AAUGAGAUGGAGCUGCCCAGCCAGGAUUUCUGGGCACUGGGUAGUUCCUCGGCUUGUCUUCCUCCCUAGAUUACAUGGAAUCUUCUUGUUUCUGAGACCUGAAUUUUGUUUGGUUGGUUGGUUGUUGUUUUUUUUCUAUUUAACGUAACCAACUAGAUUUUUUUUUUUUUUAACUUUUAAGUUCAGGGAUACAUGUGCAGGGAACAAGCUUCUAAAUUGCUCAAGAGAUGGUGAAAGAUAGGAAAGCUGAGGCAGUAAGGAUAUCACAAAGGAAAACUAUGGUCAAAGCAUGAAGAAGAACAGAAGGAUUUGCAGAGGGGAAACAGAUGUUUACUGUUCAUUUCAUAAUCACAAGGCUGGAUGAAUGUGGAACAACAAAUCAUAGCUUCCAAAACACAACUGCAUCAAAACCACCCCAAAGAUCCCAGGCUCUUUCCUGUUUUUUUAAGAUUCCUUUGUUUCUUCCCAUGAGGGCAGGUGCUCUCUAAUUUCCCUCAGUGACCCCUCUGAAGGUCUUAGAGUCAUGUUGAUUAUUUUUUUCAUUUGCGGAGUGAUUCACCCAUAUGUAGCUUUGCAGAUUAUGCCCAAGCUCAAGGCUUUUCCCCCAGCAGCUGGUACUUGGCUACCCAUGGCUGCCCUUGGGUAAGUAAGGUUAGUCUCCUUACUGCUACGCAUCAGAAUUCCCACUUGCCUCUAGUCUGACUCCCUGAGGCUUCUCCUCCCACCCUGCACCAGCCCUCUCCCAAUUCUUUCUGUUCUUAGCCUUCUGUAUUCUCCUUCUUCCAGGAGCUCUCUAUGCCCCCACCGCAGGUACAGAUCUUUUUUGAGAACACUCUGUUUCCUCACUUAGGAGUUUGCUAGCCGUUUCCAAGAGGCACUAAAGGCCUUUUCUGUUUGAUACGAUCUGCUGGAAACUCCCAAGUCAAGAAAUUUUACAUGCAUAUCUGUUUUUAAAUUGCUUUUUACUGAUGGAUGGUUGACUAUAGAAUUGCUCCUUUUGGCUUGAUUCAUAGGCACCAUUACAGCAUAAAGAAGGGUUUUCUGAACCUACUAAGUCACAUUAGCUGAAACUAUAUACAUUUGUGAUAUCUAAAUGGGUUUGAACUCUAAAACAGCAGUGUCACAAGUUCUACCUAAUUAGAAAUUUCUAUGAAGCUUAUUGACAUUCAUAUUCACAGCUCUGUCUCUAAAUGGGUCUGGUGUAGAAGCCCUUACAUGGACCCAAGAAUCUGCAUUUUUAACAAGUAAGCUUUUCUUAUGGCCAGGCAAGUCUGGGAAAUAUAGGUAUGUCAUAUGUAGUGGAAUAAAUAGGGAGUUAAACAUGGUGCUAAGGCAGUUGAUAUGUUUAUCUGUGCGUAUUGUAUUUGGUAUAAGCAAUUUCAACUUAAUGACUGUGGUGAAGAUGACUAAGUGUCUAUUAAAGUCUGUUUGUCCCUUCUUUGGGCACAUCGCUGGCCUUCCUUGUGAUAAUGUGUGGCCUACAGUUUAAGUUCUCUCCAGUGAAAUGUGAACAGAAGUGAUGCAUGCCACCUGUCAGCCUGGCCCAUACCACCACUCCCUACCCUUACUCCUCCAUAGUCUUUC
RNAcentral lists this long non-coding RNA (1584 nucleotides) under Homo sapiens (human). Its description in RNAcentral is "HSALNT0377473". The record is from RNAcentral. Lineage: Eukaryota; Metazoa; Chordata; Mammalia; Primates; Hominidae.